RNAcentral lists this ribosomal RNA (1738 nucleotides) under human gut metagenome. RNAcentral's name for it is "bacterial LSU rRNA". It matches the Rfam family "Bacterial large subunit ribosomal RNA", at positions 877 to 2642 of the family's 2925-position model. The record is from RNAcentral.
CCGUCUCGUGGGCUCGGAGAUGUGUAUAAGAGACAGAUUUCCUAGGGGGCGUCAAAGUCUACCGAAGAAUAUCAAACUCCGAAUGCCAUAGAGGUGAUGUACGGGAGUCAGACUGCACGAGAUAAGUUGGGCAGUCAAAAGGGAAAGAGCCCAGACCUGCAGCUAAGGUCCCAAAGUGCGUGUUAAGUGGAAAAGGAUGUGGGAUUUCGAAGACAACUAGGAUGUUGGCUCAGAAGCAGCCAUACAUUCAAAGAGUGCGUAAUAGCUCACUAGUCGAGAGGUCCUGCGCCGAAAAUGUCCGGGGCUGAAACACGACACCGAAGCUCAGGAAUGUCGAAAGACAUUGGUAGAGGAGCAUUGUUAACGCAGCGAAGCGGUACUGAUAAGGAGCCGUGGAGCGUUAAGAAGAGAGAAUGCCGGAAUGAGUAGCGAGAUGGAGGUGGGAAUCCUCCAGGCCGAAUAUCCAAGGAUUCCGGGGUAAAGCUGAUCUGCCCCGGGUAAGUCGGGGCCUAAGGCGAGGCAGAAAUGCGUAGCCGAUGGAAAACAGGUGGAAAUUCCUGUACUGCGGUAUAACAGAACUGUGGGGACGCAUGUCCGAAGCGGGAGCCGGGAAAGGAAAGACCGGUGCAAGCACAGGAGCUGUAAGGGAGGCAAAACCCCCUUAUAAGGCAAUGGUGUGAUGCGGACUGAAAGAAAGUAGGGAAGUCCGCAGAGGAUGUGCCAAGAAAAGCCGCUAUUGUUUAUACCGUACCCGUACCGUAAACCGACACAGGUGGAUGAGGAGAGAAUCCUAAGGCCGGCGGGAGAAGCAUUGUUAAGGAACUCGGCAAAAUGACCCCGUAACUUCGGGAGAAGGGGUGCCUGGGCAACCAGGCCGCAGAGAAUAGGCUCAAGCAACUGUUUAGCAAAAACACAGGUCUAUGCGAAACCGAAAGGUGAGGUAUAUGGGCUGACGCCUGCCCGGUGCUGGAAGGUUAAGAGGAGAGGUCAGGAAACGAAGCCUUGAAUUUAAGCCCCAGUAAACGGCGGCCGUAACUAUAACGGUCCUAAGGUAGCGAAAUUCCUUGUCGGGUAAGUUCCGACCCGCACGAAAGGCGUAAUGAUUUGAGCGCUGUCUCGACAAUGCACCCGGUGAAAUUGAAGUACCAGUGAAGAUGCUGGUUACCUGCGCCAGGACGGAAAGACCCCAUGGAGCUUUACUCCAGCUUGAUACUGGGAUUCGAUACUGUAUGUACAGGAUAGGUGGGAGACGUUGAGCAUAGAACGCCAGUUUUAUGUGAGUCGCUGUUGGGAUACCACCCUUGCAGUAUUGGAUUUCUAACCUGCGCCCGUGACCCGGGCGGGGGACAAUGUCUGGCGGGGAGUUUGACUGGGGCGGUCGCCUCCGAAAGGGUAUCGGAGGCGCUCAAAGGUUCCCUCAGAAUGGUUGGAAACCAUUCGAAGAGUGCAAAGGCAGAAGGGAGCUUGACUGCGACACCGACGGGUGGAGCAGGUACGAAAGUAGGACUUAGUGAUCCGGUGGUAUAAAGUGGGAUUGCCAUCGCUCAACGGAUAAAAGCUACCCUGGGGAUAACAGGCUUAUCACUCCCAAGAGUUCACAUCGACGGAGUGGUUUGGCACCUCGAUGUCGGCUCAUCGCAUCCUGGGGCUGUAGCAGGUCCCAAGGGUUGGGCUGUUCGCCCAUUAAAGCGGUACGCGAGCUGGGUUCAGAACGUCGUGAGACAGUUCGGUCCCUAUC